UACGUAGGGUGCGAGCGUUAAUCGGAAUUACUGGGCGUAAAGGGUGCGCAGGCGGCGUCGCAAGUCAGGCGUGAAAUCCCCCGGCUUAACCUGGGAACUGCGUCUGAUACUGGAGGGCUUGAGUGCGGGAGAGGGAUGUGGAAUUCCAGGUGUAGCGGUGAAAUGCGUAGAUAUCUGGAGGAACACCGGUGGCGAAGGCGGCAUCCUGGACCGACACUGACGCUGAGGCGCGAAAGCUAGGGUAGCAAACGGG
RNAcentral lists this ribosomal RNA (253 nucleotides) under uncultured bacterium. RNAcentral describes it as "partial 16S ribosomal RNA". It matches the Rfam family "Bacterial small subunit ribosomal RNA", at positions 524 to 776 of the family's 1533-position model. The record is from RNAcentral.